UAAUUGGUGAUUUUCAUUGGAUUUUGAAACAAGCAGCUCGAAGUGUGUACAUUUGAUUAUAAGAAACGUUUCCUCGGAACCGUGCGGUUCCUGAACACCGGGAAGCUGCAGAUGAAUCCGGAGCAGUUUCCGGUGUGUGAUGUUUCUUUGUCUGGCCCGCAGUUUGCUGGUUCCGUUAUUGGCCUGCUGAAUGUGGCUCCUGGACGCCAUUGGUUUAGUCUGACGCCAGUCUCCGGCGCGUGCUCGCGGUGCCCCGUUGUGAACGCGCCCUCGGUGAUGCGCGCGCGCUAGCGCAGACAGAGUGCCCGACCGGAGUCUGUCUGGAGUCUGUCUGGAACAAACUGAUCCCCGGAUGGGACUUCGCACGAGACUCGGUGGAACUUUGUUCGUGCGCGAGAGCCGUUCGCACGCGCAGACGGGUGUAGGGUAUCAUAGCGGUGUCCCGGGAGCGCGUGCCCAACUUUUCUUUUUCUCUCUUCUUUCAUCAGUUCAUUAAACACAGAGCAUCAGACGUGAACGCACGUGUUACACGCAGCCGGAUUUGUGCUCCAAACCUCAUUAACGUGUAAAAAAAGGAACCGAGAAGACCUUCUUCGUCCUGUGCAUGUCCUGAAAUUGUAAUAAACACGAGUGUAUGCCUUCAUUAUGGCUUCAUGUCAUAUCUUUUGUUUUGUCCUUAAAAGCUAAUAAAUGUUAUUAAUAAUCA
Molecule: long non-coding RNA, 706 nt
Organism: Silurus meridionalis
Lineage: Eukaryota; Metazoa; Chordata; Actinopteri; Siluriformes; Siluridae
Exons: 2
Source: RefSeq, a predicted model, not a curated record